GCCCUUCGCCCGCCGCGCCCCGCGCCCGGCCCGCCGCCCCCGCCCCCAGCCGCCGCGGUAAUACGGAGGGUGCAAGCGUUAUCCGGAUUCACUGGGUUUAAAGGGUGCGUAGGUGGGCAGGUAAGUCAGUGGUGAAAUCUCUAAGCUUAACUUAGAAACUGCCGUUGAUACUAUCUGUCUUGAAUAUAGUGUAGGUGAGCGGAAUAUGUCAUGUAGCGGUGAAAUGCUUAGAUAUGACAUAGAACACCCAUUGCGAAGGCAGCUCGCUACACUAUCAUUGACACUGAGGCACGAAAGCGAGGGGAUCAAACAGGAUUAGAUACCCUGGUAGUCCACGCCCUAAACGAUGGAUACUCGACAUCAGCGAUACACUGUUGGUGUCUGAGCGAAAGCAUUAAGUAUCCCACCUGGGAAGUACGACCGCAAGGUUGAAACUCAAAGGAAUUGACGGAAGGGC
This 457-nucleotide ribosomal RNA is filed under the name uncultured soil bacterium. RNAcentral's name for it is "bacterial SSU rRNA". It matches the Rfam family "Bacterial small subunit ribosomal RNA", at positions 460 to 922 of the family's 1533-position model. The record is from RNAcentral.